CGUGCAGGCGGUUUGGUUAGUUGGAUGUGAAAGCUCCUGGCUUAACUGGGAGAGGUCGUUCAAUACUGCCAGACUAGAGGACGGUAGAGGAAGGUAGAAUUCCUGGUGUAGUGGUGAAAUGCGUAGAUAUCAGGAGGAAUACCAGAGGCGAAGGCGGCCUUCUGGGCCGUUCCUGACGCUAAGACGCGAAAGCAUGGGUAGCAAACG
Molecule: ribosomal RNA, 207 nt
Filed under: uncultured bacterium
Lineage: Bacteria
Description: partial 16S ribosomal RNA
Rfam family: Bacterial small subunit ribosomal RNA
Source: RNAcentral